UAUGUAUGAUGGUGCAUGCAAAUAUUCUCGCAUCUAUGUGGGGAAGGCGUGUGUUUAAUUUAAUUAGAUUCAAAGAAAUGAAUGAUUAUAUCUAAUUCUAAUUUGUUGCAAAACAGCUGGGGUGGGCCAUGCCAGAUGGUCGGUCCAAAUUCACAAAUCAAAGGAUUUUCAAACAAUAUGAAAUAAUAAUAUACUAAUUAAAACUAAAACCAAAAGUGUAAGCCUUUGUUAAUGUAAUUUAACUACCAAGAAUCGGAGCCACAUUUGAAAUUUGUAAAAAUUAUGGGUUCGAAUCUUUUAAAAAGUGUAUAUGAUAAAGAGCAAAUCUCACCUAAACGUUACGAUCAUAGUUAAGAAGACAAAAGAUAACCCAACAAGCCAAUGAGAUGUCAUAAGUUUAAAGGCUGAUGAUAAAAUAAUUAAUCAGUGGGAGCCGGUGUUUGGUUUGUAGUUAAUGGAGUUUGAUUGAUGAUAAAAAUAAUUGAAAUGCAUUUUGUUUUUGUCUGACAAUGGAGGAGGGUUUGGACCCUGCGGGGCCUAUUGUAGAAAAAGAGCAAUACACUAUCCAGUCCAUUGUUUGGAACUCAGGCAAAGAUUACAAGAGACAAUGCAAGAAGCAUGUUAGGAGAGAAGGGUGUGUCUCUGGGCAGCCUGUCCAAACCCCCCCAGCCACAAAAGUAAUACUACUACUUUUUUGUUUUUGGUAAAAUAAAAUUAGAAGUUAUUCAAUUUUUCAAGUUAAGAUAAAAUGUAUCAUACUCAAUAACUUAAAAAGUAACUAUUAUAAAUCAUGCAUUCAAAAAGAUUCCAACAAAAGAUCAGCAUUUGGAUUCAAGUUUAAGACCACUUGAUGGUACUACUAUUACUACUUAGCUAAUAGGAGAAGAAAAGGAAAAUCAUGUGUCCUACUGCACCUUUUCCCUAACUCACAGACAGCUUCCAACCUGUUGUCAACACAUUUCGACUGUUAGUCCCAUUCCAUUGUUAAACUUAUUCCCAAGUUCAAUAUGUCCCAUCCCCACAAAGAAUAGGUGUAGGGCACCUUUCUUUUUUCUUUUCAUGGACAUGAAAUUAAUGCCUUUGCAAACUUCAGUUUAUUUUAGCAUCGAUCCAGGAAAGUUUUAGUUUGUCGGUAGUGAUAAGGAUCCCCAUAAUUUCCACAUUACCUUGGAAUUUCAAGGAUGAAUUUCUAAGAUAUAUAAUUGCCCGUUACUUGAAUUCAUAUCAAGCAUUUCCUUCUCCUUUGUGAUUCUAAGCAACACAAGAUAAUGAUUAGAAAAAAGCAAUAUAUAGAUAACAGAAUGAAACUGAUAAAUAAUAUUAUAAAUGGUAAAUAAUUUUUGUGCCCAAACAAAAGAAAACAUAAAACCACUGGCAAACAAAAUGGGAACGCAAUCCACAGAAAAAAAAAACAUCCUUAAAAACCAUGGGAAUAAUUAAAAUGCAAAAUUUGGAUACAAGCUAUGUAUAGUUUCACACACUGAUAUUAAAAGAAAAAGAUGUCCUUAUAAACCAAGGUAGAUUGAACUCUUUGAUGCUGGACAAGGUAAUACCUAGACAUGUAUGGAACUAUAUUAAUGGAUCACUGCAUGCACAAUUGCACUAUUUCAAAUAACCUAAAAGCUUCAACAACAUGAAAAUUCUCAAAAAUCAUUCCACCAUAAAUGCCCUAGCAAAACCAUAACUUGAAUAGGACAUUCAUUUGACAUCACAUUAAGCACAUCCAUAGUGCAUAUAUGAUUCCAAAUUUUCAUAUGCUCAGAAGUAAAAAGCUUGUUGGCAUCUUCUGUUCUCAUCCUUGGAAUGGAACCAAAGAGAUCAACAAAACUUAAACAGUAAAUAUUGAGGAAAAAACCAAACCAUGAGAAUCAAAGCUUAGCAAGUCUAUCUUACUUUUGAGUACUCUUUCUGGAAAGCAAAACAAAAUUUUGGAAACAGGAUUAAAACUUUACAGAAACUUGACUUCAUGGUAGCAUGUGGAUGCAUACAAACAAAAGCAUAUAGUUAACAUGUAUUAAACAUUAAUGAGAACAGAAUAUUUUCACCUCAUUUGCAUAACACUCCUUAGCAUCUGCAUAUAAAUCAAGUGGCUAGUUUUUCCUUGUUAGACCAUGCAGUGAUAUAAAUAUAUAUUUAAAAGAUUGUCUGUACUAGUACAGUCAAUGUCUUCUUUUGAAAAUUAAAAGGACCACAUUCCCCCAAAAGGGAUAAGAAACCUUCCCACUGUAUCCUAUAAAAAACAUAUUACUUUGAUAUAUAGCUUUGGUCAACAUAUCUAGUCUAUUUCUGAACAACUAAACAACAGAAUAAGUGAGACUUGGAAAUAAAGACUAGACAUGACCUAGAAAAGUUACUUGAUAUUUCCAGAAAGCGCCAUUUCUUUUGCUAUAUAUCUUUUUUUUUUUUCUUUUGAAAUGUAAACGUUUAAGCUAUAUAUGUAUAUAACUUCACUUCAACUUUAAUUGAUUGAAUGCUCAAAUAAUGUGCAUUGACUUAAUACGAAGAUUAUAAACAAGUGUGCUAUGCAACAGUAUGUGAUACAAUUGAUAGUAAAUGAAGGAGGCUAACGAUAAUAAGCUGUAUCAAGAUCUCCAUGUAAAUUGCAAGUGACGGAACAUUUAACUAUAUGUUGAUCAAAUGCGUGUCUAUAACUAUUGGAAAGCCUAUUUACUGCACUAAUUAAUGAAUUAAUGGAAACAUUUCAGAACAUAUCAAAUUAUCUAGCAAGUGAAAAUAGUUGGCAAAGAUGACUUAAAACUUAAUAGAAAAGAGGUGAAAGUUACUUAAAAAACUUACUCAUGAUAUACCACUAAGUGGUUGGUUCAAUCAGUUAAAGAUUGUUCUUUU
RNAcentral lists this long non-coding RNA (2847 nucleotides) under Durio zibethinus. RNAcentral describes it as "long non-coding RNA (DZIB_LNC001901)". Lineage: Eukaryota; Viridiplantae; Streptophyta; Magnoliopsida; Malvales; Malvaceae. The record is from RNAcentral.